Molecule: non-coding RNA, 28 nt
Filed under: Rattus norvegicus (Norway rat)
Lineage: Eukaryota; Metazoa; Chordata; Mammalia; Rodentia; Muridae
Source: RNAcentral
UAACAGUCAGAUUCACACUGCUUAGUUC